GAGCCCGUAGCUCAAUUGGUAGAGCACGACACUUUUAAUGUUGGGGUUCCGGGUUCGAGUCCCGGCGGGCUCACCA
This 76-nucleotide transfer RNA is filed under the name Magnetospirillum sp. RNAcentral's name for it is "tRNA-Lys". It matches the Rfam family "tRNA". Rfam says of the family: Transfer RNA (tRNA) molecules are approximately 80 nucleotides in length. RNAcentral also lists the same sequence under 2 other names. Lineage: Bacteria; Pseudomonadati; Pseudomonadota; Alphaproteobacteria; Rhodospirillales; Rhodospirillaceae. The record is from RNAcentral.